UGCCAGCCGCCGCGGUAAGACAGAGGGUGCAAACGUUGCUCGGAAUUACUGGGCGUAAAGCGCACGUAGGCGGAUCGUUAAGUCAGGGGUGAAAUCCCGAGGCUCAACCUCGGAACUCCAUUUGAAACUGGAAGUCUGGAGUUCAGGAGAGGUUAGCGGAAUACCGAGUGUAGAGGUGAAAUUCGUAGAUAUUCGGUGGAACACCAGUGGCGAAGGCGGCUAACUGGACUGAUACUGACGCUGAGGUGCGAAAGUGUGGGGAGCAAACAGGAUUAGAUA
This 279-nucleotide ribosomal RNA is filed under the name uncultured bacterium. RNAcentral describes it as "partial 16S ribosomal RNA". It matches the Rfam family "Bacterial small subunit ribosomal RNA", at positions 506 to 784 of the family's 1533-position model. The record is from RNAcentral.